GAUGAACGCUGGCGGCGUGCCUAAUACAUGCAAGUCGAGCGAACAGAUGAGGAGCUUGCUCCUCUGACGUUAGCGGCGGAGGGGUGAGUAACACGUGGAUAACCUACCUAUAAGACUGGGAUAACUUCGGGAAACCGGAGCUAAUACCGGAUAAUAUAUUGAACCGCAUGGUUCAAUGGUGAAAGACGGUUUUGGGGUCUCUUCUAGAUGGUUCCGCGCGGCUUUGGCUAGUUGUUAAGUUAACGGGUUACCACGGCAAGCAUGCGUGGGCGACCGGAGGGGGUGAUAGGCGACAUUGGAACUGGGACAGGGACAAGGGUCCUGCGGGAGGCAGCAGUAGGGAAUCGUCCGCAACGGGCGAGAGCCUGACGGAGCAGCGCCGAGUGAGUGAUGACGGCCCUCGGAGCGUAAAAAUGUCUUAUUAGGGAAGAACCGAUGUCUACGUAAACAUGCACGUCUUGACGGUACCUAAUCAAAAAGCCACGGCUAACUACGUG
RNAcentral lists this ribosomal RNA (497 nucleotides) under uncultured bacterium. RNAcentral describes it as "partial 16S ribosomal RNA". It matches the Rfam family "Bacterial small subunit ribosomal RNA", at positions 28 to 507 of the family's 1533-position model. The record is from RNAcentral.